RNAcentral lists this ribosomal RNA (410 nucleotides) under uncultured Flavobacteriia bacterium. RNAcentral's name for it is "bacterial SSU rRNA". It matches the Rfam family "Bacterial small subunit ribosomal RNA", at positions 370 to 779 of the family's 1533-position model. Lineage: Bacteria; Pseudomonadati; Bacteroidota; Flavobacteriia. The record is from RNAcentral.
AAUGGAGGCAACUCUGAACCAGCCAUGCCGCGUGCAGGAAGACUGCCUAUGGGUUGUAAACUGCUUUUAUACAGGAAGAACACCUCUACGUGUAGAGGCUUGACGGUACUGUAAGAAUAAGGAUCGGCUAACUCCGUGCCAGCAGCCGCGGUAAUACGGAGGAUCCAAGCGUUAUCCGGAAUCAUUGGGUUUAAAGGGUCCGUAGGUGGAUUAGUAAGUCAGAGGUGAAAUCCUGCAGCUCAACUGUAGAACUGCCUUUGAUACUGCUAGUCUUGAGUCAUUAUGAAGUGGUUAGAAUGUGUAGUGUAGCGGUGAAAUGCAUAGAUAUUACACAGAAUACCGAUUGCGAAGGCAGAUCACUAAUAAUGUACUGACACUGAUGGACGAAAGCGUGGGGAGCGAACAGGAUU